Molecule: long non-coding RNA, 1404 nt
Filed under: Sinocyclocheilus grahami
Lineage: Eukaryota; Metazoa; Chordata; Actinopteri; Cypriniformes; Cyprinidae
Description: lncRNA (ENSSGRG00000007857.1)
Source: RNAcentral
CACACACACACACACAUACACAUAUACAUACACAUACACAUACACACUCACGCACUCACACGCGCACUCUCACACUCACUCUCACACGCGCACUCUCACACGCGCACUCUCUCACUCGCACACGCACUCUCACUCUCUCACACGCACUCUCACACGCACUCUCAUACGCACUCUCACACGCACUCUCACUCUCACACGCACUCUCACUCUCUCACUCUCACUCACGCGCACUCUCACACGCACACGCACUCUCACACGCACUCUCACUCUCACACGCACUCUCACUCUCACACGCACUCACACGCGCACUCACACGCACUCACGCGCACUCUCACACGCACACGCACUCACACGCACUCACUCUCACUCUCACACGCACUCUCACACGCACUCUCACUCUCACACGCGCACUCUCACUCUCACACGCACUCUAACUCGCACUCUAACUCUCACACGCACUCACUCUCACACGCACACACACUCACUCUCACACGCGCACUCUCACUCUCACACGCGCACUCUCACACUCACACGCACACACGCACACGCACUCUCACUAUCACAUGCACUCUCACUCUCACACGCACUCUCACGCGCACUCUCACUCUCACACGCGCACUCUCACACGCACUCUCACUCUCACACGCACUCUCACGCGCACUCUCACGCGCACUCUCACUCUCACACGCGCACUCACACGCGCACUCUCACACGCACUCUCACACGCACUCUCACUUUCACACGCACUCUCACUCUCACACGCACUCUCACUCUCACACGCACUCUCACACGCACACGCACUCACACUCUCACACGCACCCUCAUACGCACUCUCACAUGCACUCGCACUCUCACACGUUCACAAAAGCCUGACAAGACCUACACAAACACUGCUGUCGGGCAUGAGUUGGGCGAGAAUCCCGUGUUCAGGAAAAAGGUAGAUAUGUUUUAAAAAUGAUGUCUUUAAAAUGGGACACACUUCUUAAUUAUUGAGUUCAGGUGUUUUAAUUAGACCUAUUGCCAAGUGUAUACAUUUGUGAAGAAAAAUGGGUUGUUUUAAAGAGCUCAAUGAAUUCAAGAAUGGUACUGUGGCAGGAUGCCAUCUUUUUAGUGAGGUCGUGAAACUUCAUACCUGCCAGAUAUUCCACGGUCAACUGUAAGUGGUAUUAAAAGUGGAAAGGCCUUUUCUAUUCCAGCAUGACUGUGCCUCAGUGCACAAAGCAAGGUCCAUAAAGACAUGGUUGGAUGAGUUUGGUGUGGAAGAACUUGACACACAGAGCCCUGCCUUCAACCCCAUCAAACACCUUUGGGAUGAACCUGAACAGUGAUUUUGAGUCAGGCUCUCGUCCAACAUCAGUGCCUGACCUCACAAACGCUCCACAGGAUGAAUGGGCAAAAAUUCCC